This 1970-nucleotide ribosomal RNA is filed under the name Staphylococcus aureus. RNAcentral describes it as "partial 23S ribosomal RNA". It matches the Rfam family "Bacterial large subunit ribosomal RNA", at positions 1 to 1974 of the family's 2925-position model. The record is from RNAcentral. Lineage: Bacteria; Bacillati; Bacillota; Bacilli; Caryophanales; Staphylococcaceae.
GUUGAUAAGGUUAAGUGAAUAAGGGCGCACGGUGGAUGCCUUGGCACUAGGAGCCGAUGAAGGACGGGACUAACACCGAUAUGCUUUGGGGAGCUGUACGUAAGCUAUGAUCCAGAGAUUUCCGAAUGGGGGAACCCAGCAUCUUUUAUAGGAUGUUACGUUUGCGUGAAUACAUAGCGCAUUCGAGGUAGACGCAGAGAACUGAAACAUCUAAGUACCUGCAGGAAGAGAAAGAAAAUUCGAUUCCCUGAGUAGCGGCGAGCGAAACGGGAAAAGCCCAAACCAAUGAGCUUGCUCAUUGGGGUUGUAGGACUCCAAUAUGGUAGUUCUUUCAGAUAGUCGAAUGACUUGGAAAAGUCAGUCAAAGAGGGUAAAAACCCCGUAGAUGAAAUUUGGAAGGCACCUAGGAGGAUCCUGAGUACGGCGGAACACGAGGAAUUCCGUCGGAAUCCGGGAGGACCAUCUCCCAAGGCUAAAUACUCCCUAGUGACCGAUAGUGAACCAGUACCGUGAGGGAAAGGUGAAAAGCACCCCGGAAGGGGAGUGAAAUAGAACCUGAAACCGUGUGCCUACAACAAGUCAAAGCCCGUUAAUGGGUGAUGGCGUGCCUUUUGUAGAAUGAACCGGCGAGUUACGAUUGCAUGCGAGGUUAAGUUGAAGAGACGGAGCCGCAGCGAAAGCGAGUCUGAAUAGGGCGUUUGAGUAUGUAGUCGUAGACCCGAAACCAUGUGAUCUACCCAUGUCCAGGUUGAAGGUGCGGUAAAACGCACUGGAGGACCGAACCCACGUACGUUGAAAAGUGCGGGGAUGAGGUGUGGGUAGCGGAGAAAUUCCAAACGAACUUGGAGAUAGCUGGUUCUCUCCGAAAUAGCUUUAGGGCUAGCCUCGGAAUUGAGAAUGAUGGAGGUAGAGCACUGUUUGGACUAGGGGCCCAUCUCGGGUUACCGAAUUCAGAUAAACUCCGAAUGCCAUUCAUUCAUAUCCGGGAGUCAGACUGUGAGUGAUAAGAUCCAUAGUCGAAAGGGAAACAGCCCAGACCACCAGCUAAGGUCCCAAAAUAUAUGUUAAGUGGAAAAGGAUGUGGGGUUGCACAGACAACUAGGAUGUUGGCUUAGAAGCAGCCACCAUUUAAAGAGUGCGUAAUAGCUCACUAGUCGAGUGACCCUGCGCCGAAAAUGUACCGGGGCUAAACAUAUUACCGAAGCUGUGGAGUACACCUUUAGGUGUAUUGGUAGGAGAGCGUUCUAAGGGCGUUGAAGGCAGAUCGUGAGGACUGCUGGAGCGCUUAGAAGUGAGAAUGCCGGUAUGAGUAGCGAAAGACAGGUGAGAAUCCUGUCCACCGAAUGACUAAGGUUUCCUGGGGAAGGCUCGUCCGCCCAGGGUUAGUCGGGACCUAAGCCGAGGCCGACAGGCGUAGGCGAUGGACAACAGGUUGAUAUUCCUGUACUCGUUGUUUUUGUUUGAGCAAUGGAGGGACGCAGGAGGCUAAGGAAUGCAGACGAUUGGAAAUGUCUGUCUAAGCAGUAAGUCUUGAUAGGAGUCAAAUGCUUCUGUCUGUACGGACAAGCUGUGAUGGGGAGGGAAAUAAUAGUACCGAAGUUCCUGAUGUCACACUGCCGAGAAAAGCUUCUAGUGAGAAAACAACGACCCGUACCGCAAACCGACACAGGUAGUCGAGGAGAGAAUCCUAAGGUGAGCGAGAGAACUCUCGUUAAGGAACUCGGCAAAAUGACCCCGUAACUUCGGGAGAAGGGGUGCUGAUCUAAGAUCAGCCGCAGUGAAUAGGCCCAAGCGACUGUUUAUCAAAAACACAGGUCUCUGCAAAAUCGUAAGAUGAAGUAUAGGGGCUGACGCCUGCCCGGUGCUGGAAGGUUAAGAGGAGUGCUUAGCGUAUGCGAAGGUACGAAUUGAAGCCCCAGUAAACGGCGGCCGUAACUAUAACGGUCCUAAGGUAGCGAAAUUCCUUGUCG